ACAAACUUGGUCAUUUAGAGGAAGUAAAAGUCGUAACAAGGUUUCCCUGCGCGAGACCCUGUGGAGCUGGCCUCUCUGGCUGGCGUUGCCGCGACUGUAAAGAUUGGCAUUUACCGCAAGUCAGCUCUCUGGAGCUGGCGACGCUGCAAAUUUGGCGGGAACGCUUGCUGGUCGCAAGCAACCCGCAGUCCCUACCCGGGAUUCACAGAUCAAAUGGCAGUGGGCCUGCGCGGCUUAAGAUAUGAUCGGCCUCGGCGCGCCAGCGCCCAGAUUCAGCGUCCGUAGGUGAACCUGCGGAAGGAUCAUUAAAGAAUAUAGGCCGCGAGGCCCUAUUCCAACCCCUUGCUUGCUUAACUUUGUUGCUUUGGCCGUGCCCGAUUCGGGCCGGCCGAAGGACCUGAACUCUUGAAUCAUUGCCGUCUGAGUCACUAUGUAAUAGUUAAAACUUUCAACAACGGAUCUCUUGGUUCUCGCAUCGAUGAAGAACGCAGC
This 492-nucleotide unclassified non-coding RNA is filed under the name uncultured fungus. RNAcentral's name for it is "partial contains small subunit ribosomal RNA, internal transcribed spacer 1, and 5.8S ribosomal RNA". The stretch from base 444 to 492 matches the Rfam family "5.8S ribosomal RNA", at positions 1 to 49 of the family's 154-position model. Lineage: Eukaryota; Fungi. The record is from RNAcentral.